GAGGGUACAGCUCAAGUGGUGGAGCGCAUGCUUAACAUGCAGGAGGCCUGGGUUCAACUCCCAGUACUUCCU
RNAcentral lists this transfer RNA (72 nucleotides) under Camelus bactrianus (Bactrian camel). It matches the Rfam family "tRNA". Rfam says of the family: Transfer RNA (tRNA) molecules are approximately 80 nucleotides in length. Their secondary structure includes four short double-helical elements and three loops (D, anti-codon, and T loops). The record is from Rfam by way of RNAcentral. Lineage: Eukaryota; Metazoa; Chordata; Mammalia; Artiodactyla; Camelidae. RNAcentral also lists the same sequence under 2 other names.